Molecule: long non-coding RNA, 221 nt
Filed under: Setaria italica (foxtail millet)
Lineage: Eukaryota; Viridiplantae; Streptophyta; Magnoliopsida; Poales; Poaceae
Description: long non-coding RNA (SITA_LNC003800)
Source: RNAcentral
UCCUACUGCUGUCCUUCUUUUGGAGUAUCAUCAAUUUAGCAUCCUCAUCGACAUCACCAUCAUUUUGCUCAGAUGGCUGAUCAUCACCCUGUUCUAGACUAGCAUCUUCAAUGCGACUAUCAUCUCCCCCAUGAUUUUUAUGCACAAUUGAAGUAGGAAUUGGAUCCAAAUUAGCAACUCGAGGAGUAGUGAUUUGUUUCUUUAGCCUCACAAUAUCUUCU